RNAcentral lists this ribosomal RNA (381 nucleotides) under uncultured eukaryote. RNAcentral describes it as "partial 18S ribosomal RNA". It matches the Rfam family "Eukaryotic small subunit ribosomal RNA", at positions 592 to 976 of the family's 1831-position model. The record is from RNAcentral.
CAAUAGCGUAUAUUAAAGCUGUUGCGGUUAAAAAGCUCGUAGUUGGAUUUCUGUCAAGGACAACUGGUCCGCCCUCCGGGUGAGCACAUAGUUUGGUCUUGGCAUCUUGCUGGAAGCUGUUGCUGCACUUGGCUGUGUGGCGCAGCGUCCAGCACUCUCACUUUGAGGAAAUUGGAGUGUUUCAAGCAGGCACAUGCCUUUGGACACAGUAGCAUGGAAUAAUUAGAUUGGGCUUUUGCUCCAAUUUGUCGGUUUCUGGAGCUGAGGUGAGAAUUAAUGGGGAUUGUUGGGGGCAUCCGAAUUUAGCCGUCAGAGGUGAAAUUCUUGGAUCUGCUAAAGACGGACAACUGCGAAAGCGUUUGCCCAGGAUGUUUUCAUUGA